This 1552-nucleotide ribosomal RNA is filed under the name Salmonella enterica subsp. enterica serovar London str. CFSAN001081. RNAcentral's name for it is "bacterial SSU rRNA". It matches the Rfam family "Bacterial small subunit ribosomal RNA". The record is from RNAcentral. Lineage: Bacteria; Pseudomonadati; Pseudomonadota; Gammaproteobacteria; Enterobacterales; Enterobacteriaceae.
AAAUUGAAGAGUUUGAUCAUGGCUCAGAUUGAACGCUGGCGGCAGGCCUAACACAUGCAAGUCGAACGGUAACAGGAAGCAGCUUGCUGCUUCGCUGACGAGUGGCGGACGGGGGAGUAAUGUCUGGGAAACUGCCUGAUGGAGGGGGAUAACUACUGGAAACGGUGGCUAAUACCGCAUAACGUCGCAAGACCAAAGAGGGGGACCUUCGGGCCUCUUGCCAUCAGAUGUGCCCAGAUGGGAUUAGCUUGUUGGUGAGGUAACGGCUCACCAAGGCGACGAUCCCUAGCUGGUCUGAGAGGAUGACCAGCCACACUGGAACUGAGACACGGUCCAGACUCCUACGGGAGGCAGCAGUGGGGAAUAUUGCACAAUGGGCGCAAGCCUGAUGCAGCCAUGCCGCGUGUAUGAAGAAGGCCUUCGGGUUGUAAAGUACUUUCAGCGGGGAGGAAGGUGUUGUGGUUAAUAACCACAGCAAUUGACGUUACCCGCAGAAGAAGCACCGGCUAACUCCGUGCCAGCAGCCGCGGUAAUACGGAGGGUGCAAGCGUUAAUCGGAAUUACUGGGCGUAAAGCGCACGCAGGCGGUCUGUCAAGUCGGAUGUGAAAUCCCCGGGCUCAACCUGGGAACUGCAUUCGAAACUGGCAGGCUUGAGUCUUGUAGAGGGGGGUAGAAUUCCAGGUGUAGCGGUGAAAUGCGUAGAGAUCUGGAGGAAUACCGGUGGCGAAGGCGGCCCCCUGGACAAAGACUGACGCUCAGGUGCGAAAGCGUGGGGAGCAAACAGGAUUAGAUACCCUGGUAGUCCACGCCGUAAACGAUGUCUACUUGGAGGUUGUGCCCUUGAGGCGUGGCUUCCGGAGCUAACGCGUUAAGUAGACCGCCUGGGGAGUACGGCCGCAAGGUUAAAACUCAAAUGAAUUGACGGGGGCCCGCACAAGCGGUGGAGCAUGUGGUUUAAUUCGAUGCAACGCGAAGAACCUUACCUGGUCUUGACAUCCACAGAACUUUCCAGAGAUGGAUUGGUGCCUUCGGGAACUGUGAGACAGGUGCUGCAUGGCUGUCGUCAGCUCGUGUUGUGAAAUGUUGGGUUAAGUCCCGCAACGAGCGCAACCCUUAUCCUUUGUUGCCAGCGGUUAGGCCGGGAACUCAAAGGAGACUGCCAGUGAUAAACUGGAGGAAGGUGGGGAUGACGUCAAGUCAUCAUGGCCCUUACGACCAGGGCUACACACGUGCUACAAUGGCGCAUACAAAGAGAAGCGACCUCGCGAGAGCAAGCGGACCUCAUAAAGUGCGUCGUAGUCCGGAUUGGAGUCUGCAACUCGACUCCAUGAAGUCGGAAUCGCUAGUAAUCGUGGAUCAGAAUGCCACGGUGAAUACGUUCCCGGGCCUUGUACACACCGCCCGUCACACCAUGGGAGUGGGUUGCAAAAGAAGUAGGUAGCUUAACCUUCGGGAGGGCGCUUACCACUUUGUGAUUCAUGACUGGGGUGAAGUCGUAACAAGGUAACCGUAGGGGAACCUGCGGUUGGAUCACCUCCUUACCUUAAAGAA